AGGAUGAUAGCUCAAGAAAACAAAGGCUACUUUGCUAAGUCAGCGGUGAGAGAAAAUAAUGAAAGAUGCAAAGAAGAAUGAUUAUGGAGCUACUAUUUUGUCUCAGCCUUUAGCACAAAGAAUGAAGGAAGCAGGAGCUCAGUAAGAUAAAUAUUAAUGAGUCUCUGGGAAUAUCAAGAAACAGAAUUAAUAAGAGGCAGGUAAAAGAAUACUUAUACAAUUUAAAUAUUUAUAAAUCAGGAGAGCUGGGUGAGAUUCAUUUGAACAUAUUCAAAGAACCAGCUAAGGCAGGACAUACCUGCAAUACUAGUGUUUGUCGUAGAGACCUAUGUACCAGGGAAAUUUAAGCAGGCUGAUUUAGUGUUGGAGAUAAAGCAGCCAAAAGCAGAUACAGGAAAAGGUGGGCUAGUUAGCGUAUCCAAACUACCAGUCAAAAUUCUAAAUGAAAUCAUAAAUCAGUCCAUGAG
Non-coding RNA from Chlorocebus sabaeus (green monkey), 467 nucleotides. Lineage: Eukaryota; Metazoa; Chordata; Mammalia; Primates; Cercopithecidae. The record is from RefSeq and is a predicted model, not a curated record.